ACUGGUCUUUUCCUGCCAGGUCCCAAUGAAGUCCAUAGCUGAAUGUCUUGGGGCAUGUGUGGGGGCAGGUCUGGAUGCGUAAAGUGAGCACUGUGUUCUACUCUUUGCAGGCUUCCUUGCUGUAUCCCACUGCAGGGGAUAAGAAGAAGGGGUCACUGGGACUGUCUUUGAUCCCCCAGUUACGCAGGGCAUUAAAUCCUGCUGUGAGCAGUGCUGCAGGAUCUCGGAAAAGCUCUCUGCAGCUGGAUGUGCAAGAGUCCCAGGAGAUGAGGUCCACACCCAGCAGCAGAAGUGAAGAUGAUGAAUCUGAAGAAGGAGGACUUACUGGCUACCCUCUUGCCAAGAGGAUUUCUCUGGCAAAUCCUUCUGUGCUCCUUCCCUCCAAGCCAAUGCCCCUCAUCCCAAGGAGCUCUUCCAAGCCAAUGAAGAGCUGCAUCGGAGAGCACGUUACUGGGAAAAGUGGCACUGGCAAUGACAAUGACAGUGGAAAAGAACAGGAGUCACGUUCAGAGGGAAAAGGACGUAAGGUAAGGAGACCAAGCUAAGUCAUGUGUGGGAGAUUUUCAGUUUCUGUGCUGUAGACAGA
Molecule: long non-coding RNA, 586 nt
Filed under: Cyanistes caeruleus (blue tit)
Lineage: Eukaryota; Metazoa; Chordata; Aves; Passeriformes; Paridae
Description: lncRNA (ENSCCEG00000007916.1)
Source: RNAcentral